AGAGUGCAGUUGAAACUGUAUAUCUUGAGAGCAGCAGAGGAGAACGGAAUUCCUGGAGUAGCGGUGAAAUGCGUAGAUAUCAGGAAGAACACCAGUAGCGAAAGCGGUUCUCUGGGCUGCAACUAACGCUGAGGUACGAAAGCUGGGGGAGCGAACGGGAUUAGAUACCCCGNGUAGUCCCAGCCGUAAACGAUGGACACUAGGUGUUGGUGGUUCGAUUCCAUCAGUGCCGGAGUUAACGCAUUAAGUGUCCCGCCUGGGGAUUACGGUCGCAAGACUGAAACUCAAAGGAAUUGACGGGGGCCCGCACAAGCGGUGGAGCAUGUGGUUCAAUUCGAUGCAACGCGAAGAACCUUACCGAGAUUUGACAUCCCGUGCCCAUAUGUGAAAGCAUG
RNAcentral lists this ribosomal RNA (395 nucleotides) under uncultured bacterium. Its description in RNAcentral is "bacterial SSU rRNA". It matches the Rfam family "Bacterial small subunit ribosomal RNA", at positions 618 to 1011 of the family's 1533-position model. The record is from RNAcentral.